This 460-nucleotide ribosomal RNA is filed under the name uncultured bacterium. Its description in RNAcentral is "partial 16S ribosomal RNA". It matches the Rfam family "Bacterial small subunit ribosomal RNA", at positions 338 to 795 of the family's 1533-position model. The record is from RNAcentral.
CCUACGGGAGGCAGCAGUGAGGAAUAUUGGUCAAUGGGCUUACGCCUGAACCAGCCAAGUCGCGGGAGGGAAGACUGCCCUAUGGGUGGUAAACCUCUUUUGUCAGGGAGCAACGCCGGCUACGCGUAGCCGGACGGAGAGUACCUGAAGAAAAAGCAUCGGCUAACUCCUUGCCAGCAGCCGCGGUAAUACGGGGGAUGCGAGCGUUAUCCGGAUUUAUUGGGUUUAAAGGGUGCGUAGGCGGAAUGCCAAGUCAGCGGUAAAAUCGCGGGGCUCAACCUCGCUCCGCCGUUGAAACUGGCGUUCUUGAGUGGGCGAGAAGUAUGCGGAAUGCGUGGUGUAGCGGUGAAAUGCAUAGAUAUCACGCAGAACUCCGAUUGCGAAGGCAGCAUACCGGCGCCCAACUGACGCUGAAGCACGAAAGCGUGGGUAUCGAACAGGAUUAGAUACCCCAGUAGUC